UACGAAGGGGGCUAGCGUUGCUCGGAAUCACUGGGCGUAAAGGGAGCGUAGGCGGAUGAUUAAGUCAGAGGUGAAAGCCCAGGGCUCAACCUUGGAAUUGCCUUUGAUACUGAUCAUCUAGAGACCGGAAGAGGUAAGUGGAACUGCGAGUGUAGAGGUGAAAUUCGUAGAUAUUCGCAAGAACACCAGUGGCGAAGGCGGCUUACUGGUCCGGAUCUGACGCUGAGGCUCGAAAGCGUGGGGAGCAAACAGG
This 253-nucleotide ribosomal RNA is filed under the name uncultured bacterium. Its description in RNAcentral is "partial 16S ribosomal RNA". It matches the Rfam family "Bacterial small subunit ribosomal RNA", at positions 524 to 776 of the family's 1533-position model. The record is from RNAcentral.